GCAGCCCUCUCUCUCCACCACCAGCAACGUUCGCCUCCACCUCUAUCUCUCUCUCUCCCUCUCCCUCAAUCGGUACCACCAGCCGCGUCCGCCUCCACCUCUCUCUCCCUCCUCUCCCUCAAUCGGUACCACCAUCCGCGACCGCCUCCACCUCUCUCUCCCUCAUUCCCUACCACCACGCUGUGCAGCCUCAGAUUACAGGUAAGACCCCUACCACCACGCUGUGCAGCCUCGGAUUGAGCCUUACAAGCAUGGAAUGAGCAGCAUAGAUCUAGGAUUUCAAAAGGUAGACUACAAGGCAUGGUUCGAUUGUUUAUAGCGGAAACAAAUCACUCUUGUUGAUAAUGAUGGUGUCAAGUUAAAGUUUCUCUUGUGGGGAGAGCAGGUUCUCCUUGCGAAUCUUUUCAGUGUAGGAAGUAUGCUUGCACUGGAUAGACCUUUCAUUGCAAAUGUUAUAGACAGUGAUAUGCAAACAAAUGCUGAAAUCUGUCUUGAAUAUGGUAGUGCCACGCAGUUAUAUUUGGUCCCCUUUAUUCAACAUGAAGAGCAGGUACUUGUAGCAUCCACACCAAAUUGGUGUCAAGGAUCAAGGCUGUUGAAUGGAUUGAGUCAAAGUCAGGGUCCUAAAGUUUCUCAAGUGGCAUUGCCCUGCUGAAGGUUCUAUUGACUUCAGUAAUUAUCCUUUCAGAUCAUUUAUUGUUGAUCUUCGUGACAAGAUGACUGGAAUCAGCCUUUAUGGUGCUGUAACAAACAUCUUAAGAGAAGGCAAUACUGAAGAAGCUAUAUUUUCUCUGACAAUUGAAGAUACAACAGGAGCAAUUGUGGCAAAGCUACACUUUGUUAGAUCUUGGUAAUGACAAACGAUCACUUCUUAAGUAUUGCUUAAGAAGACAAUGUAGUAUUUGUGAAGACAAUGUAGUAUUUGUGACUGCAAGACCUAAUGGGUGCUACCAUUGUUUCCACUAGUCUGUUGACCUAAUGGGUGCUACCAUGGAUGGAUCAUGUUCUAAAAUAUCACACAGAUUAGAAAUUCUAGCCUUCCAAUCCUUUUUUUUUUCCUGCUGAAUGUGGAGUGGCUACAUUUUUUCUCAUAACCAUCAAUUUGCAAUCAUGAAGAAUUUUGGGCGUCCUUAUCUUUGGUGGGGCCCAUGAGAUCAAUGGUCUAUAUACCAAACCAUGACCUCCACUCGUACUGUAUAGCAUAUCAGGACUUUGUUCACACCCGAUUGGGAUUAGACCACUGGCCCAACACCACUGUACAAAUCUAUGGCUUUCCAAAUUACUGUCAGUUUUGAAAUCGAA
Magnolia sinica is the source of this 1302-nucleotide long non-coding RNA. RefSeq lists it as uncharacterized. The record is from RefSeq and is a predicted model, not a curated record. NCBI's taxonomy places the organism in Eukaryota, Viridiplantae, Streptophyta, Magnoliopsida, Magnoliales, Magnoliaceae. The transcript has 5 exons.